This 76-nucleotide transfer RNA is filed under the name Bacteroidota bacterium. RNAcentral's name for it is "Bacteroidetes bacterium tRNA-Lys". It matches the Rfam family "tRNA". Rfam says of the family: Transfer RNA (tRNA) molecules are approximately 80 nucleotides in length. Their secondary structure includes four short double-helical elements and three loops (D, anti-codon, and T loops). Lineage: Bacteria; Pseudomonadati; Bacteroidota. The record is from RNAcentral.
ACCAUCUUAACUCAGUUGGUAGAGUAACGGUCUUUUAAACCGUGAGUCCUGAGUUCGAUCCUCAGAGGUGGUACUA